Long non-coding RNA from Medicago truncatula (barrel medic), 2884 nucleotides. RefSeq lists it as uncharacterized. NCBI's taxonomy places the organism in Eukaryota, Viridiplantae, Streptophyta, Magnoliopsida, Fabales, Fabaceae. The record is from RefSeq and is a predicted model, not a curated record. The transcript has 3 exons.
AUUUUCUUUAUUUCAUUAUUAUUUUUUGUUGUAGAAAACGUUAGCGCUACUUAUGGUUUUUAUUGUGAUGAUGAUGUUCCGUGUAAUCCUCAUUUAUGUUUACCUCCUCUGCAAGUGAUUUGUGGUGACUCUGAAUCACAUUAAUCAUACAGUGCAAGUCUUUUUGCCGCAUAAAUAUAAUUCUCUUAAGCAAAGAGUAAGAAACAUUUGAAUAAUUUAAUUUAAGUCACAAUUUCAGACUAAGUUAUAUUAUUUAAACUUAAUUUAAAUUUAUUAAUGUUGGUUUAAAUAGUUCUAAUUAUAAGUUGUGUCGUUUCAAAUAAUGCCUUUUAUUUGUUAAGUUUGAGAAUUAAAUAUAUUUUCUAGUGAGAAAGUGAAUUGAGUAUUAUUAGUUCUUCUUAUGGAUCUUUUAUUUUCUUAUCAAAGGUAUAGUUACCAUAGCAUUCAAACUAAUAAUCUAUUAUAUAUAACUAGUUUUUGUCUCUUCUUCAUUUAUUGAUCUAAAACUUCACUCUUUUAAAUUUUCUCGUCUUUUUAUUUCUUCCAUUUGACAUCUUUUUUCCAUAAAAUGAAAAAUUUGAAGAAAAUAAAACUCUUAUGAAGGGGUACAUAAAAGAAGUUACAUGGUCAUAUUCUAAAUAUCACACAUAAUUAAGGAACAUAAAAGAAGUUUAUGGGCGUUACUCAAUGACUCAAAUUUCAUGAGAGCUUUGUAAUCCAUUAAUCAUAUGAAAAGUGCUAAUAUGGUGAGAAUCAAAAUUCGAACACAUAAAUAUUGUCGAAUGUGUAAUUAAAAUAUUAUCACUAACAGAAUCAUAUCCUCAUCAAUAUCAAUAUAUAGUAAUAAAAAAAUCUUCAUCAAUAUAUUAAAUACUUAUCAUCCAUAUAAAUAGGUCAAUUAUACAAAACUUGAAUCGUUUGUAACACCCAGUUUUUUAACACGCAUACAAUCCUUUUUUUAUAUUGUUAGGCAACUUCUUUUCCCACCAUAUAAGAUUUCUCGUGUGUCCUAUGUAGUUCAGAUUAUAGAGUUCUGAUUAUAGAAUCUGAAUGGAAUUAACUCCCUAUAAAAUCUUUUAUAAAAUAAUAUUUCAAAUUUUAUAAUCUGAAUAUGGUGUGUGACAAACUCAGAGUGAAAAAACUAACAUGCAUACUAUUAUCAUUAAAAUACAAGAAGUAUGAAUUUUAUCUGGACCAACUUGAUUCCAAAACAAUUAUAUUCUCCGAAACCUAAUCACCCACUAUAACAUAUGUUCCUAGCAGGGGAUCCUUUGAAGAUUCUAACAUAUAAGGAUGAAAUUUAUUUGUCUUGAAGGAGAAAACUAUUAUUGUCUUUUAAACCAAUACUAAUUAUAUUCUUGUAUCUCUUCUUUUUUUAAUCAUACAAAAUUGUUUCUUUCACUCUCAUGAUUCUUUUUUUCAAGGUGAUUCUUUCUUCCCUAGUUUUUUUUUACAGUCGAGAAAAAAGGACUGAAAGUGAAGGAUAAGAUUUGAUUAACAAAGUUGUAACCCCCUCUCGGAUUGGCUGCGGUUAUGGUGCAUAAGAAAAUCCUUAUGCAUCCUGCAUAAAUUCAGAAAAGGUUUCUGUGAGUUGUCACAAUUGAAAAGACGAUAAAAACAUCACAAUUGAAAUAAAAUUAUGGUCUAAAUCUUUUAAAAUUAACUCAUAAAAUAAUAUGAAUCGUAAAAUUUAGUCAAAUUAAAAACAUUCAAAAUAUCUCUACAAAAUUGUACACCGACAGGAUGAAGUUGUUAUUGUAUUAAGCAGAUUUUUGGUUUAGGUUUUAGUUUAGAUUUAAAUAGCUAAAUAAAUUAUUUAAUUAUACACUGAAAAAAAUUAAUUAUGAUAUUAAAUAAAUGUGUAUAUGCGGGGUUGCGGAGCUGGGUAGUAUAGUAUCCAUACUCGUGUCCAUACCCAUUUAAAUUCGCUGGUAUUACCCGGACCCGUCCCCAGAUCCAUGAUAGCGGGGUUUCACCCUACCCAUUAUGGAUAUUUUAUGCGGGUAUCCAUUGGGUCUGAGUCCAAUUGUCAUCCCUAAAUCUAAGAGCAAAAUGUAUAUCCUCCCUUAGGAGAAUAAUUAGAAUAUUAUGUGUACAUAAAUAAAGUUGUAUUUAUUACACUUGAUUGCAUAUAUGAAUUAUUGUAAUAGCCUUCACAUAUAAAAGUAAACAAGAAACCUUUCUUUCUUUCUUUUUUAUCACUCAGAUGCAAACUCAAAUCAGUUGUAACUAGUCCAGUAUAGGCAACAACCUUUUGUAAAUAAAGGUGUCUAAAGAAACAUUCAACACACUACUAGAAAAAUUGGGAAUAGAGACGGGAAAAAUCUAUCGCUAAAAUGAAAAAAAAAAUGUCUUUAUACAUGCUUGAGACGGAAUCAAAGGUGGAACAAGGUUUAUCGUUGUAUUUGUCAUCUAUAAACUCUUUAGAUAUGAAUUUUCAACUUCCAUCUUUGAGCAGAGAUGGAAUAAAUCUGUCUCCAGUUAAUAAGGAAGAUGAGAUAAAUAUGUCGUUGUUAGAGACGAAAACAACUAUCUCUAAUAUGAAAAUUCGGUCUCUAAACUCUGUCACAAAGGUCACACAUUCCGUCUCUAGUUACUAAUAUUCCGUCUCUACAAAGGAGAAUUGAAGUUCCAUCUCUAAAAUGACUAGAGUUACUUAUCUAAUAAUGACUAGGGUUACAUAUCCACCAUGGACCAUAUGUGUCAGCGGUCCAUGUUAAUAUUUGUCGGUAGAGAUAACUUGUAUAUUCAUAAAUAUAAUUAAUAAAAAAAUUAUAAGAUACAUUUUGUUUCAAGUUUUUUAAGUUUUUACGAAUUUUAAAAAGAAAAAAAUAAUAAUAAAGCAAUCAAUAUUAAUUAGAGAUGGAUUUAGAGACGGAUGUUU